RNAcentral lists this ribosomal RNA (1197 nucleotides) under Triticum aestivum (bread wheat). Its description in RNAcentral is "partial small subunit ribosomal RNA". The record is from RNAcentral. Lineage: Eukaryota; Viridiplantae; Streptophyta; Magnoliopsida; Poales; Poaceae.
AUGGAUGGAUCUGGGUUGAUGAUGGAUCCAACACCACGGAUACUAGCGGAUCGAAGAUGGUUCGCUUGGAUGAACCGCCGCCAAUCCUCAUCAACGAUGCAUCCGCUGGAAGAUGAGGACCUCCUCCAAGAGAUCCUCCUCCGUCUCCCUCCUCAGCCAUCCUCCCUCCCCCGUGCCUCCCUUGUCUGCACACGCUGGCACCGCAUCCUCUCUGACCCCAAGUUCCCCCACCGCUUUCGCAAGCACCACCAGAAACCUCCUCUGCUCGGCUUCUUUUUGGUUGUGCCCUUGGGCAACCGCACCUUUACUCCCAUCCUGGAUAGGCCUGACCGCAUCCCAGCAACGCGAUUUGCUCUUCCACAGGGCCACGACCUCCCCCAAGACCAAUGGCACUUCAUGGGAUGCCGCCACGGCCUCACUGUCCUAAUCAACGCGUGGCAACGCCAGAUUGUCAUGUGGAAUCCUCUCACUGGACAACUGCGGCGUGUGACAUUUCCACAGUCGAUCAGGUACAAACAUGAGAUAUUUUGUCAUGCUACGGUGCUCUGCGCUGACCCCGAAGAUGGGCAUGUGCACGGCGAUUGCUUCUUGAGCCCUUUUAAAUUGGUUAUGGUCAGUGUCAGAGACAGGGAAACAUGUGCUUGUGUUUAUGACUCAACAUCUGGUGUAUGGGGCAAUAUUUUAUCGAUUGUGACUAUGAGUACAAAUAUUUUCAUAAGGCACAACAUCCUGGUCGAAAAUGCAAUUUACUUUCAUGGAGGUGAGAUCCUUGCCUUUGAUCUGGAAAAGCAGAGUCUUGGUGUGAUUGACAUGCCAAGUGAUGUGGAUCUUCGUGACUUCGGGACUUCUCAGCUCUUACGGAUGGAAGAUGGUGGACUUGGACUCGUUGUUUUGUCAUUUUUAACCAUUCAAUUAUGGCAGAGAAAGUCAGAUUGUGGAGUUGUCAGAUGGGUGUUGCUACAGAAAACCAUUGAAUUGGAGGAUCAUCUCGUUCCACGUAGAAUGGGCCAUGAUUGCAUAAUUGUAAUGGUACUGAUAGCGGGGUAUGAUGAGGAGAAAAUUUUGAUUGUACUAUCUACGACGGGUGGCAACUUCAUGCUCCAGGUUGGGUCAAUGAAGACCAGAAAUAUUUGUGAAGGAAAUCUCAUAAGUGAUGAGACCUUUUAUCCCUACACAAAUUUCUAUACUACAGUCUGA